This is a long non-coding RNA of Lynx canadensis (Canada lynx), 1330 nucleotides long. RefSeq lists it as uncharacterized. The transcript is spliced from 4 exons. The record is from RefSeq and is a predicted model, not a curated record. Lineage: Eukaryota; Metazoa; Chordata; Mammalia; Carnivora; Felidae.
AUAAGGACCAUCAGAGGUUGGAGGAAGGUGACAUUCAAGCUGCUGAGCUAGAGUUUGAGGAUUGACACCUGGUUGCGGAGAAAAGAUCGACACCUCCAUAGUGGUUGUUCACGGAAGAAGUGCUCUGAGAGAGACAGUAUUAUCCAGGAACAAUCUGUAGCUCUUCUGAUGUUUUGCUGAAGGACCUGGAGCCCCCUCUCGGGAGGAAUCUGAUUUGACUGCCUCCAGCUGCUCAUGGGAGCCCUAAAUGAAGGAUUUGGAAAGCUACUGGGGGAAUUCCAGAAAAAGACAAACUACUCCUGUCCUGCUGAGGGUCUCCCCUUGAGCUUCUCUUCCAGAGGAGCACUGUGACCCCAGACAAAGAGAGGAGUUCUGGGAAGCCACGGGAGCCUGCAUAACUGCCAAAGAAUGGCUGACUCCAGAGCGACCGACCGAGGCCUGCUGGUUCUUAGACUCUCGUGGAUAGGAGCUGGCACAGAAGGGGAAUUUGACACGUUUAUUGAAUGAAUGGUCAGUGAGAAGUAUGAGUUCUGGGGAGGAAAUAUGCUACUUCUACAGGCAUGGAUCAAGCACCAUCGAGAUCAUGAGUGAACACCAUGAAGAGUAAACACCAUGCAGAUCUCAUGUUUUCAGGACCCCAAGUGUCCAGUGACUAGAAUGAUACACACAAAGUAACAUGGCAAAGAUUCAGCAGAAGGAGAAACUGGGUACCACUGAGACACCUUCCCUGACCAGAAUCACUGUUGGUCACUGGUCACUGGUCACUUCCUCAGCCCACCUGUGGCUCUAAUUCCCAUAGCAUCCUUCCCUUGGGGGGCUUUGGCCUCUGGGAAGAAAUGAAUGUGGCCCUUGGAGAGCCCUGCAUUCUUGCACAGGUGAUCACCCCAUCCAAUUCAAUGUGAACUCAAGUAGAAAGGAUUGUGACCUUUCCAGAGGCCAGAAUCAUUGUUCUAGAACUGGAAGGGGCCACGGCAGUUCUUUGGCCUGGUUCUAAUCUUCUGUCUGAAGAAAUCAUUGCAGUGGGGUGCGACUAUUCUAAUGCCUGGCCCCAGAAUUCUCUUCUGGAGGAGAACUGUCUUGAGACCCUGAGGGCGAAGUUGGCAAGAGACAAAAUGAUGAAGAGAGAACUGCUGUCUUGUGCAUAAAAAUAAAUAGGGACUUUGGGUGAGAGACUCUGAAGGAGAGGAAGUACAGGAGGAGGGGACUUCUCAGGGGGAAAUGAAACUUGAAACUUAUACUUGUGGAAAUUUUAAGAACAAGGAUGUCUAAUUUUUGAUUGCACAGUUUUUAUUUGUGAGUGCUGUAAACCAUUCUCUCUCUUCGAUAAAGA